GACGAACGCUGGCGGCGUGCCUAAUACAUGCAAGUUGAGCGCUGAAGGUUGGUACUUGUACCAACUGGAUGAGCAGCGAACGGGUGAGUAACGCGUGGGGAAUCUGCCUUUGAGCGGGGGACAACAUUUGGAAACGAAUGCUAAUACCGCAUAAAAACUUUAAACACAAGUUUUAAGUUUGAAAUAUGCAAUUGCAUCACUCAAAGAUGAUCCCGCGUUGUAUUAGCUAGUUGGUGAGGUAAAGGCUCACCAAGGCGAUGAUACAUAGCCGACCUGAGAGGGUGAUCGGCCACAUUGGGACUGAGACACGGCCCAAACGCCUACGGGAGGCAGCAGUAGGGAAUCUUCGGCGAUGGACGAAAGUCUGACCGAGCAACGCCGCGUGAGUGAAGAAGGUUUUCGGAUCGUAAAACUCUGUUGGUAGAGAAGAACGUUGGUGAGAGUGGAAAGCUCAUCAAGUGACGGUAACUACCCAGAAAGGGACGGCUAACUACGUG
This 497-nucleotide ribosomal RNA is filed under the name uncultured bacterium. RNAcentral's name for it is "partial 16S ribosomal RNA". It matches the Rfam family "Bacterial small subunit ribosomal RNA", at positions 28 to 507 of the family's 1533-position model. The record is from RNAcentral.